This 589-nucleotide ribosomal RNA is filed under the name Trichoderma erinaceum. RNAcentral's name for it is "eukaryotic LSU rRNA". The stretch from base 211 to 364 matches the Rfam family "5.8S ribosomal RNA". The record is from RNAcentral. Lineage: Eukaryota; Fungi; Ascomycota; Sordariomycetes; Hypocreales; Hypocreaceae.
GGUGAACCUGCGGAGGGAUCAUUACCGAGUUUACAACUCCCAAACCCAAUGUGAACCAUACCAAACUGUUGCCUCGGCGGGGUCACGCCCCGGGUGCGUCGCAGCCCCGGAACCAGGCGCCCGCCGGAGGGACCAACCAAACUCUUUACUGUAGUCCCCUCGCGGACGUUAUUUCUUACAGCUCUGAGCAAAAAAUUCAAAAUGAAUCAAAACUUUCAACAACGGAUCUCUUGGUUCUGGCAUCGAUGAAGAACGCAGCGAAAUGCGAUAAGUAAUGUGAAUUGCAGAAUUCAGUGAAUCAUCGAAUCUUUGAACGCACAUUGCGCCCGCCAGUAUUCUGGCGGGCAUGCCUGUCCGAGCGUCAUUUCAACCCUCGAACCCCUCCGGGGGGUCGGCGUUGGGGAUCGGGAACCCCUCAGACGGGAUCCCGGCCCCGAAAUACAGUGGCGGUCUCGCCGCAGCCUCUCCUGCGCAGUAGUUUGCACAACUCGCACCGGGAGCGCGGCGCGUCCACGUCCGUAAAACACCCAACUUUCUGAAAUGUUGACCUCGGAUCAGGUAGGAAUACCCGCUGAACUUAAGCAUAUCA